AUGCCAUGGUGCGGACACUUCACCAACAUACCCUUAAACCUCUCCCAGGUUUCUUGCAAAGUCUCAGUCGAUUUCUGCCUGAACUGCAAUAUCUCAUCAAUUUGCCU
This is a small nucleolar RNA of Nicotiana attenuata, 107 nucleotides long. It matches the Rfam family "Plant small nucleolar RNA R71". Rfam says of the family: R71 is a member of the C/D box family of snoRNAs containing the C (UGAUGA) and D (CUGA) box motifs. Multiple nearly identical copies of this snoRNA have been identified in Arabidopsis, and it is thought to function as a 2'-O-ribose methylation guide for 18S ribosomal RNA. NCBI's taxonomy places the organism in Eukaryota, Viridiplantae, Streptophyta, Magnoliopsida, Solanales, Solanaceae. The record is from Rfam.